Molecule: ribosomal RNA, 253 nt
Filed under: uncultured bacterium
Lineage: Bacteria
Description: partial 16S ribosomal RNA
Rfam family: Bacterial small subunit ribosomal RNA
Source: RNAcentral
UACGUAGGUGGCAAGCGUUAUCCGGAAUUAGUGGGCGUAAAGCGCGCGUAGGCGGUUGUGUAAGUCUGAUGUGAAAGCCCAGAGCUCAACCGUGGAAGGUCAAUGGAAACUGCAAAACUAGAGUGCAGAAGAGGAAAGUGGAAUUCCAGGUGUAGCGGUGAAAUGCGUAGAGAUCUGGAGGAACACCUGUGGCGAAGGCGGCUUUCUGGGCUGUAACUGACGCUGAUGUGCGAAAGCGUGGGGAUCAAACAGG